Molecule: non-coding RNA, 113 nt
Organism: Acanthosepion pharaonis
Lineage: Eukaryota; Metazoa; Mollusca; Cephalopoda; Sepiida; Sepiidae
Source: the annotation of a GenBank genome assembly
UACAGCUAUAUCACGUCGAAACACCGGUUUCUGUGCGAUCACUGAAGUUAAGCAACGUCGAACCUGGUUAGUACCUAGAUGGGUGACUGCUUUGGUAUACUCGGUGCUGUAAG